RNAcentral lists this ribosomal RNA (279 nucleotides) under uncultured bacterium. RNAcentral describes it as "partial 16S ribosomal RNA". It matches the Rfam family "Bacterial small subunit ribosomal RNA", at positions 506 to 784 of the family's 1533-position model. The record is from RNAcentral.
UGCCAGCAGCCGCGGUAAUACGGAGGGUGCAAGCGUUAAUCGGAAUUACUGGGCGUAAAGCGCGCGUAGGCGGUUAUUUAAGUCAGAUGUGAAAGCCCAGGGCUCAACCUUGGAACUGCAUUUGAAACUGGAUAACUUGAGUAUGGUAGAGGUAAGCGGAAUUUCCAGUGUAGCAGUGAAAUGCGUAGAGAUUGGAAGGAAUAUCGAUGGCGAAGGCAGCUUACUGGGCCAAUACUGACGCUGAGGUGCGAAAGCGUGGGUAGCGAACGGGAUUAGAUA